Cyprinus carpio (common carp) is the source of this 835-nucleotide long non-coding RNA. The record is from Ensembl. Lineage: Eukaryota; Metazoa; Chordata; Actinopteri; Cypriniformes; Cyprinidae.
AUGUCUACAAUGGUCAAUCAAAACACACCGCGAGCAAAAUACAAAGUACAAAAACAUUAAAUAAAUGCAUCUCAAUCGAAUAUGAAGUAAUUAUAGGUGGGAAUGGAAGAGGAUUUAACAUUUAAAUGUCUUACCAUAGUAGGACAAGAUCGACAGGCAAAUUAAUAGAUUCUCCAUUUUCAAAACUAAAAUAAUAAUACAUAGAAUGUUGAUUUUAUCAAAAAAUGAUUAGUUCCCUUUGCUGUAAUGAAGAACCCCUGCAUAGUCAAGGUCAUAAUGGAAGACUGUCCUCGCUGCAGCCUGUAGCACGAUGACGUAGCUGGAUCAGAUCCAAUACGUACUGGACGUUGUUGUGUUUUGGUGACGUCAUAGACGCAUGCUCAGUAGAGAGUUGGUAAACGAUCGCACGUGCUUUGGUCUUCCGAGAAGAGUCUACAGAAAACGGCCGAUUAAUUAACAGUGAUUGUUUAUCGGUACACCUCCACAGUCCCUAAAUGAUAGUGAAAGACACACCUGUGAUAUUACACAAAUAGACCAAGUACACUACCCCAGCCAAGGUUCAGUGAUUGACAUGACAGCCCUACGAAAUGUGCAGCCAAACAGGGCAUGCUGGAUCCAUCCACAAAGCAGUGACCAAAUAUUGAUGGUAUGUUGAAUUUUUUGCAUUUUUAUGCAAAGUGUAUAAUCAUACUUACACUUCGUUUUUCUAGAUAAAAAAUGCUUUAAAUGAAAAGGAAUCACAACAACAAUUUUUGGCACAAGUAGGAGUACCAAUUCUGAACAGAUCAGAUUUUUUUUUACCUUGGGACAUCCAAAUGAUGUUGAAGGGACUGUG